GCGUGGUCGUGGAGUCGCGGGGUCGCGGAAUGGAGAAGUAGCGAGGUCCCAGAGUUGCAAAGUCGCGGGGUCGCUGAGUUGAGGGUUCACGAGGUGCAGGGUCUCGGGGUCGCAGUGUCUCGGGGUCACGGUGUCGCGCGGUUGCGAGGUCGAGGGGUCGUGAGGUCGCGGGGUAGAAGAGUCACGAGGUCUCGAGGUCUUCCUUAUCGCGGGGUCGCAGGCAAGCGAGCAAGAGAGCUGGCGAGCGUUCGCGGGCGCUUUAGGGGUAGCGAGACUAACCUGGUAUGGUUAGCGUUGAGUUGCGACACGGGCGUUGCUGCGACCGGUAG
Molecule: long non-coding RNA, 329 nt
Filed under: Rosa chinensis
Lineage: Eukaryota; Viridiplantae; Streptophyta; Magnoliopsida; Rosales; Rosaceae
Description: sRNA RchiOBHm_Chr2g0140751
Source: RNAcentral